Molecule: ribosomal RNA, 378 nt
Filed under: uncultured bacterium
Lineage: Bacteria
Description: bacterial SSU rRNA
Rfam family: Bacterial small subunit ribosomal RNA
Source: RNAcentral
AUACGUAGGGCGCAAGCGUUGUCCGGAAUUAUUGGGCGUAAAGAGCUCGUAGGCGGUUUGUCGCGUCUGCUGUGAAAACGCGAAGCUCAACCUCGCGCCUGCAGUGGGUACGGGCAGACUAGAGUGCGGUAGGGGAGACUGGAAUUCCUGGUGUAGCGGUGGAAUGCGCAGAUAUCAGGAGGAACACCGGUGGCGAAGGCGGGUCUCUGGGCCGUAACUGACGCUGAGGAGCGAAAGCAUGGGGAGCGAACAGGAUUAGAUACCCUGGUAGUCCAUGCCGUAAACGUUGGGCACUAGGUGUGGGGCUCAUUCCACGAGUUCCGUGCCGCAGCAAACGCAUUAAGUGCCCCGCCUGGGGAGUACGGCCGCAAGGCUAAA